AACACAUUCAAAUCAAAUAUUGUACAAAAAAUCCAAGAUGGCCACAAAUCAACCAAAUUUCUACUUUCCAUUUCCACAUCUCCCUCCUCCACCUUCCCACCCCCUCAAUCCUCCGCCAUCACCUUUCCACCCCAUCAAUCCUCCACCAUCACCUUUCCACCCUUUUAACCCUCCACCACCUCAUUCCAUCAAAUCUCCACCACCAGCACCAUCUCAUUCAUCCCCUCCUCCUCCUCCUCCUCCACGCAGACGCCCUCCACCGCCACCAUC
This 270-nucleotide long non-coding RNA is filed under the name Medicago truncatula (barrel medic). RNAcentral's name for it is "long non-coding RNA (MTRU_LNC000287)". The record is from RNAcentral. Lineage: Eukaryota; Viridiplantae; Streptophyta; Magnoliopsida; Fabales; Fabaceae.